RNAcentral lists this ribosomal RNA (618 nucleotides) under Triticum aestivum (bread wheat). RNAcentral describes it as "partial small subunit ribosomal RNA". The record is from RNAcentral. Lineage: Eukaryota; Viridiplantae; Streptophyta; Magnoliopsida; Poales; Poaceae.
AUGGGAGACAUGGUUACGGAAUUGGACGAGGCACAAGUAAGAAAUGCAGAGAACUCCACGGGACAGAGGAAGGCAUACAAUGUAGUAGACCAUGAAGUUUCCCCUGCAACAGAAUUACCUAGUGGAAAGGAACCUGUUGGCAACCAAUCAAUGACAGAAGGAAGACUGCAACCGGCCGGUGAUAAUUACCAGGAACCUGUUGGCAAACAAUCAAUGACAGAAGGAACACUACAACCAGCUGGUGAUAAUGAUCAGGACCCAUCUUCAGAUAGUAUUGAAAAGAAUACAGAAGGACUACUGGCAGAUGGACAGGAUCAACAAACCAACUCAGUUUACCAUCCACUGCAGCAAGCCGAAGAAGAAAACCAGUUACAUGAUAUUGUGGAAAGCAACGAAAUGCUAAGGAACAAUAGCAGCAGUGAAACUGAUUCAGACAGCAGCUCAGGGAGUGACUCAGAUAGUGAAGUCGGAAAAUACUUCUAUCCUCAAAUUGAACAAUUGGAGAUGGCAAAACAACCAGAGCCUGGAAUGAAAUUCCAAACCCUUGAAGAUGCGCAUAGGUUCUAUAAUACAUAUGCUCUCCUAACAGGUUUUGAGGCAAAGCGCGGUACAAAUUAA